GAACCCAAAUAUCUAAACGGAGAAAUUCAAUGUUACUUUUAAAGAGUCGCAUGCACUUUUCUCUUAGUAAGACGCCGUGAUCCAUUAGAAAUUUAUGUGUCAAUAUGAGCAUAUAGUUUGGUCAUCAAUGGGGACAGCAUAAAGUUCAUUGAAAUAAGUAUCUUAGUCUUUCAACGGCAAGGAAUGUUAUUCGGUGAGUUUGUUGUCAUCCGUAUGACUGUCUGAUGGAUUUUAGAGAUGAUAUUAUCAGUGCAUUCGCACUGCUCGUCCUGUACGAGAAUAUGAAUAUCUAUCCGAUCAACGGCGGUUUUAUUUUGGGAUACCUUUAUUACCCGUCUCGAAACACGGAUCAAGGAGUCUAUCUAGUCUGCGAGUAAAUGGGUUAAUUUAUUAUUAACUAAACCUAUUUGCAGAAUAAACUUAACUUUAUUUUAUGGGAUUACGAGUCUUUUAUACGAAUGUAUAUGGCUCUUCCAUUCCGGGGUAUUUUCAUCAACAUAUGUGCGCAAGUAUAUAUGGAAAAUAUACCAUUAGCAAACUGGAUACGACCCGAAAGAUGGUGAACUAUGCCUGAUCAGGUUGAAGUCAGGGGAAACCCUGAUGGAGGACCGAAGCAGUUCUGACGUGCAAAUCG
This 634-nucleotide ribosomal RNA is filed under the name Xiaomyia sp. 1 SRM-2010. RNAcentral describes it as "eukaryotic LSU rRNA". It matches the Rfam family "Eukaryotic large subunit ribosomal RNA", at positions 426 to 900 of the family's 3401-position model. The record is from RNAcentral. Lineage: Eukaryota; Metazoa; Arthropoda; Insecta; Diptera; Chironomidae.